GAUGAACGCUGGCGGCGUGCCUAAUACAUGCAAGUCGAGCGAGCAGACGAGGAGCUUGCUCCUUUCACGUUAGCGGCGGACGGGUGAGUAACACGUGGGUAACCUACCUAUAUGACUGGGAUAAUUUCGGGAAACCGGAGCUAAUCCCGGAUAAUAUUCUGAACCGCAUGGUUGGAUAGUGAAUGAUGGCUGUGCUAUCACUUAUAGAUGGACUUGCGCCGUAUUAGCUAGUUGGUAAGGUAACGGCUUACCAAGGCAACGAUACGUAGCCGACCUGAGAGGCUGGUCGCCCACACGAGAACUGAGACGCCGUCAAGACUCCUGAGGGAGGCAGCAGAAGGGUAUCUUACGCAACGGUCGAGAGCAUGACAGAGCAACGGGGAGUGAGUGAUGACGGCCUUCGGAGCGUAAAACUCUGUUAUGAGGGGAGAACAACCGUGUAAGGAAACGUGCAGUUCGUGACGGUACCUGAUCAGAAAGCCACGGCUAACUACGUG
Molecule: ribosomal RNA, 497 nt
Filed under: uncultured bacterium
Lineage: Bacteria
Description: partial 16S ribosomal RNA
Rfam family: Bacterial small subunit ribosomal RNA
Source: RNAcentral